This is a long non-coding RNA of Schistocerca gregaria, 2327 nucleotides long. RefSeq lists it as uncharacterized. Lineage: Eukaryota; Metazoa; Arthropoda; Insecta; Orthoptera; Acrididae. The record is from RefSeq and is a predicted model, not a curated record. The transcript has 3 exons.
UUGAGCGUAAGUAAAUAUGGGACGUAUGGGUGUCGUUAAAACAAUUGGUGGUCACUAACUUGAAAAUACCUGCACAUACCUUUCUACAUCUACAUCCAUACUGUGCAAACAAACGUGAAGUGCAUGGCAGACAAUACGUCAUUUAUUAUAUAUAUAUAUUGUAUGACAAUGAGUGUGAGCGGAAGAAGCAAUAAAACCACGAACAGUUGAUUUUGCUUGUGUUUAUAUGGUUGCAUGCACGCCUACGGCAUUCUCACAUUUGUGAUACUAUAUGAGAAGAACUUUUGUUUCGGAUGGUUAAUGCAGAUAGCUUGCAGUUCAGCAAAACUGCUUACCAUUGCAAACCCGUCUUUUGUUUAGAGACUAUUAUUAAAAGUGAGACAGUACAAGGGUGAGGAUCUCUUAUAUUUCAGAUUAUCUACCAAUUGUUCAAGUAGACUGCUACUGAAGUGAACAAAAAUGCCACGAGUUUGUGUAACCAGUGCUGGCACAUUUUGCUAUGUGCGUGGACAGGGCACAUUUGCUUCGCAAAAACAGCAAAUAACUCCACUGAUUAAAAAAGCUUACAGCUGUUAUUUUGGGGGCAAAAUAGGUGAUCAGGAUAAACCCUGGAUUCCACAUGUGAUCUCCAACACUUGUGCCAGUAACCUCAGGAAUUGGAUGGAUGGGAAAGGACGCUCAAUGCCCUUUGCAGUGCCCAUGAUCUGGCGAGAGCCAACUAAUCAUGUCAGUGAUUGCUACAUUCGUGUGUUCCUUCUGUCAAGAAGGAAUAUCUAAGAAGAAGAAGCGAACUGUGAUCUGUCCUAACAUUUCAUCUGCCAUAAGUCCAGUUCUACAUGGGGAAUGAUUGCCAAUACCUGAACCACAGACAGGGUACGAGAUUACUUCUGUGGGGGAUUCUAAAUGUCCAGAACCAUGUACAUCACAAUAUAGAGGGUUUUUUCCAAAUAUAACAUCAACUGAUGAUGCACAAAAAUUGUCUCAAAAUGAAUUAAGUGAUCUCAUUAGAGAUUUGGAGCUCUCUAAAGCUAAGGCUGAGAUUGCAGCACCACAAUUUUCUGGCAAGCAAUGUAAAUGUUUCAUUCUAUUCCAAUUGGGCAUGGUGUGCAUAUGAAAGAGUUAUACCAAUACAUGAAAAUUUUACUAGAAGCCAUCAAGUAUAAUGACUCUCAGUGGCACAUUUGCGGUGACUUGAAAUUGGUUGCACUGCUAUUAUGUAUGCAGUUAGGAUAUGCUUAGUAUUGCUGCUCUCUCUGUAAAUCGGAUCGCCGAGCUCGUGCGUCUUUAUUACAGUAAAUAUGAAUGGCCCACCAGAAAAUCUCUUCAACCAGGUAUAAAGAACACUCAGAGUGAACCUCUAGUAGACCCACCCUUACACAUCAAGUUGGGUCUCAUGAAAAACUUUCUCAAGGGAAUGAACAAAGAUGGUAACGCCUUUAAGUACUUAAGGCAAAACUUCCCUUACUUAAGUAAUGCCACAGUAAGGGAGGGCAUCUUUGUAGGCCCACAGAUUCGAGAGCUUUUUGGAGACCAUAUUUUUGAUGGAAUCAUAUAAAAUGAUGAGAGGCAUGUUUAGGAAUGUUUUAAGACAGUCUGUUUACAGUUCUCAGGGAACAAACGAGCAAUAAAUUACAAGAAGGUUGUAGAUAACAUGUUUUCAUCUUAUGAAAAACUUGGUUGCAACAUGUCAUUGAAAAUACAUUUCUUCAUAGUCAUCUUGACUUCUUCCCCAAAGAUUGUGGUGCAGCAAGUGCUGAACACGGGGAGCGAUUUCAUGAAGAUAUUGUCACAUCUGAGAAGAGGUAUGCCGGAAAGUGGAGACCUACUAUUUUAGCAAUUACUGCAGGACUGUCAUAAGGGAAGUUCCGAGUAUGUGCAUAAAUGUCAAGCCAGCGAAAAUGGUCAUCAUCUGAAUUUAUCUCUGAACGAAAUAUGUAACUGUGUGUACUUCACAUAUGGGCAUUUACAAUUUGUAAUCCUUUAUAUGUAUUUGUGACCACUUAAUUUACAUAUUUUCUGUUGUGCUUACAUAGUUCUGGUACAAAGUAGAGUAAUAUCACCUUCAUUUUUUCUUAAUGUUUUACUUUUGUACUUCCAGAAUGGCACUGAAAUUUAUCUAUGCAUAACACAUAACAUAAUUGAAGUAAUUAUUCGCUUAAAAUUUAUUAUGCUGAAUCUUGGAAGAUGAAUGCAUAUUUAGUUAGUGAGUUAUUUAUACAAAAAUUUUGAUUACUUUUUUUAAAAAAACUAGAGCUAAUUAUUUAUGAAGACGGUGAUUUUGUAUUAUUUUUAUACUGAAAAUACUGAAAUAAACAUAACUAACUCGA